RNAcentral lists this unclassified non-coding RNA (231 nucleotides) under Capnodiales sp. Its description in RNAcentral is "partial contains 5.8S ribosomal RNA, internal transcribed spacer 2, and large subunit ribosomal RNA". The record is from RNAcentral. Lineage: Eukaryota; Fungi; Ascomycota; Dothideomycetes; Capnodiales.
CGCACAUUGCGCCCCUUGGUAUUCCGGGGGGCAUGCCCGUUCGAGCGUCAUUUCACCAUCAAGCCUCGCUUGGUAUUGGGCCACGGGGGCGACCCGGACCCCAAAAUCGUCGGCUGGACAGCUCUGAUCUCCGCGUCGUGAAUCAAUUCGCGGGUGAGAGGGGACGUCCAUCGCCGUCAAAUAUACAUUCAGGUUGACCUCGGAUCGGGUAGGGAUACCCGCUGAACUUAA